UCGCCCUGACAGUGUUGGGGGACUUUUCUCUCAUUAAAACAUUAUCAUCCCUUCUUUCGCUGACAGCUUUUUUAUCAGGUUGCUCCGUUGUCUCGUCGUCGGCUGUCAUGAGAGGCUCCUGCCUUAUACCGGAUGUGUUGUGGUGGCUUUCUUCUGUCUUUGAACUGGAAUCCACAUUUGUUCUGAGCUGGACACGCCUCCUUUUGGUUUUUCCUCAAGAGCUUCUCCAAAAUAGAACUGGCCUCCGCGGAUGCAUCUGGAUUUGAUAGAGGUUCACGGGUGAGCUGGAGCCUAUCCCAGUUUACGGCUGGGUACACCCUGAACUGCUCACCAGAAAUCCAUGCUAGCACAGGGAGAACAUGCCAACUCCACAAGACAUCAAAGUCGAGAUUCAAACCCAGACCUCCCUGGCUGUGAGGCGGACAUGCUAACCAAACUUCCACUGUGUUGCCACAACAAACUUAAAUGGCAAAUAAACCUUACCAGAGAAAAAAAAUACACAGAACACCGAGACAAUUAAACUGCAGUGAAAAUAAUCCUGGACUCGCCAUCACGGUCUGCACAGUUUUAAACGGUUUAAGCGUGGAAUCACGCAGCCAGCAAUUCAUAGU
Molecule: long non-coding RNA, 611 nt
Organism: Dunckerocampus dactyliophorus (ringed pipefish)
Lineage: Eukaryota; Metazoa; Chordata; Actinopteri; Syngnathiformes; Syngnathidae
Exons: 4
Source: RefSeq, a predicted model, not a curated record